RNAcentral lists this ribosomal RNA (484 nucleotides) under uncultured bacterium. RNAcentral's name for it is "partial 16S ribosomal RNA". It matches the Rfam family "Bacterial small subunit ribosomal RNA", at positions 30 to 507 of the family's 1533-position model. The record is from RNAcentral.
AUUGAACGCUGGCGGCAGGCCUAACACAUGCAAGUCGAACGGUAACAGGAAGAAGCUUGCUUCUUUGCUCGCGAGUCGCGGGCGUAAGGGUAAUGUCUGUGACACUGCCUGAUGGAGAAGGAUAGCUACUGGACACGAUAACUACUAACGCAUAACGUCACAAGACCAAGAAGGUUCGCCUUCCGGCCUCCUGCCUUCGCCUAUGCCGGAUUAGCUAGUGGGUGGGGUAAAGGCAUACCAAGGCGACGAUCCGUAGCUGGUCUGAGAGGAUGAGCAGCCACACUGGAACUGAGACACGGUCCAGACUCCUACGGGAGGCAGCAGUGGGGAAUAUUGCACAAUGGGCGAAAGCCUGAUGCAGCCAUGCCGCGUGUAUGAAGAAGGCCUUCGGGUUGUAAAGUACUUUCAGCUGGGAGGAAGGGAGGUAAGUUAAUACCUUGGCUCAUUGACGUUACCCGCAGAAGAAGCACCGGCUAACUCCGUG